RNAcentral lists this transfer RNA (83 nucleotides) under Crassvirales sp. RNAcentral describes it as "tRNA-Leu". It matches the Rfam family "tRNA". From Rfam's summary of the family: Transfer RNA (tRNA) molecules are approximately 80 nucleotides in length. Their secondary structure includes four short double-helical elements and three loops (D, anti-codon, and T loops). Further hydrogen bonds mediate the characteristic L-shaped molecular structure. tRNAs have two regions of fundamental functional importance: the anti-codon, which is responsible for specific mRNA codon recognition, and the 3' end, to which the tRNAs corresponding amino acid is attached (by aminoacyl-tRNA synthetases). tRNAs cope with the degeneracy of the genetic code in two manners: having more than one tRNA (with a specific anti-codon) for a particular amino acid; and 'wobble' base-pairing, i.e. permitting non-standard base-pairing at the 3rd anti-codon position. The record is from RNAcentral. Lineage: Duplodnaviria; Heunggongvirae; Uroviricota; Caudoviricetes; Crassvirales.
GCCUAAAUGGUGGAAUGGUAGACACAAAGCACUUAAAAUGCUUUAAGCAAUAGCUUGUCUGGGUUCGAGUCCCAGUUUAGGUA